GAAAAACUGAGUGACACAGCAACCACCUCCCUCAUCCUUAUUUCUACCAGUGUUAGCUUAGAAGACGAGAAGGAGUGACGUGCGGCCAGGGUCUCUUCUGGGAACUGGAUUCAAGAUUUUUGCACGUGUGAGGUUGAGUUUAUGGAGGCCAGUUAUAAGGGAGCGGUCUGGUUGCACUAACAAGCCGUCGAUAAUGACGCGGGUGGACAGCCUCCUGAGUGUUGCGUCCCCACGCCGACUAUCAGGCCUGGCACUUCCCGGCAAGCAAAGCCCACCUACCUGUGUCGUGACGUCCGAAGAUAGCGAUCCCGCCAUUCCAUCCUUUGCCCAUCUCCAGCAAGAUGAUGAUCACGUGACAUGACGGUGGUGGUGAUUACAAGUCACUACCAGACAGCAGUCCAUCGUUAGAGCCUACUAGUUCGUUCACGUGGAUACAUCGUUGUCGUGAGACACCACUUACGUUGUUACCAGCACAAUUCGCCACUUCUCAUCAGUCACAGUGGCGCUGCAGUAGAGAGGCUGUCGUACGUGCUUCCUGAAUACAGCAGCUCUGAUGCUUUUCCACGUAUCAUGAUGAUGAUGACAUGCACUCAGCAGCGAAAUCGAUAAGUGUGUGUUAUCUCGUGAUAGCUGGCGUGGGAAACGUCUAGAAAGGUCUCAGUUAAAGGAACUCCGCAUCAUCCUGGGUGGACUAGAAACUGUGGAUUGCAAGUGUACCCUCCCAUGGUUUUUAUAUCGCUGAAUGGUAAGGAGCUGAAGGCCAAAAGACAGUUAAUGCAGUAGCAAGUUUAAGGAUGUGCCGAGCAUGUGUUGUGUAAACCUUCGUUAACAAUGAACUGCUAUAUAUAUAUAUACCCGUACAAUGAUGAUGCCUACCAAUGAGACACCCAGAAAUCAAA
Scylla paramamosain (green mud crab) is the source of this 899-nucleotide long non-coding RNA. RefSeq lists it as uncharacterized. Lineage: Eukaryota; Metazoa; Arthropoda; Malacostraca; Decapoda; Portunidae. The record is from RefSeq and is a predicted model, not a curated record. The transcript is spliced from 5 exons.